UAAUUGAAGAGUUUGAUCAUGGCUCAGAUUGAACGCUGGCGGCAGGCCUAACACAUGCAAGUCGAGCGGCAGCGGGAAGAUAGCUUGCUAUCUUUGCCGGCGAGCGGCGGACGGGUGAGUAAUGCCUAGGGAUCUGCCCAGUCGAGGGGGAUAACAGUUGGAAACGACUGCUAAUACCGCAUACGCCCUACGGGGGAAAGGAGGGGACCUUCGGGCCUUCCGCGAUUGGAUGAACCUAGGUGGGAUUAGCUAGUUGGUGAGGUAAUGGCUCACCAAGGCGACGAUCCCUAGCUGUUCUGAGAGGAUGAUCAGCCACACUGGGACUGAGACACGGCCCAGACUCCUACGGGAGGCAGCAGUGGGGAAUAUUGCACAAUGGGCGAAAGCCUGAUGCAGCCAUGCCGCGUGUGUGAAGAAGGCCUUCGGGUUGUAAAGCACUUUCAGUAGGGAGGAAAGGUUAACGAUUAAUACUCGUUAGCUGUGACGUUACCUACAGAAGAAGGACCGGCUAACUC
This 515-nucleotide ribosomal RNA is filed under the name Rheinheimera baltica. RNAcentral's name for it is "bacterial SSU rRNA". It matches the Rfam family "Bacterial small subunit ribosomal RNA", at positions 1 to 503 of the family's 1533-position model. The record is from RNAcentral. Lineage: Bacteria; Pseudomonadati; Pseudomonadota; Gammaproteobacteria; Chromatiales; Chromatiaceae.